RNAcentral lists this ribosomal RNA (1343 nucleotides) under uncultured bacterium. RNAcentral describes it as "16S ribosomal RNA". It matches the Rfam family "Bacterial small subunit ribosomal RNA", at positions 28 to 1378 of the family's 1533-position model. The record is from RNAcentral.
GACGAACGCUGGCGGCGUGCUUAACACAUGCAAGUCGAACGGAAAGGCCCUGCUUUUGUGGGGUGCUCGAGUGGCGAACGGGUGGGUAACACGUGAGUAACCUGCCCUUGACUUUGGGAUAACUUCAGGAAACUGGGGCUAAUACCGGAUAGGAGCUCCUGCUGCAUGGUGGGGGUUGGAAAGUUUCGGCGGUUGGGGAUGGACUCGCGGCUUAUCAGCUUGUUGGUGGGGUAGUGGCUUACCAAGGCUUUGACGGGUAGCCGGCCUGAGAGGGUGACCGGCCACAUUGGGACUGAGAUACGGCCCAGACUCCUACGGGAGGCAGCAGUGGGGAAUAUUGCACAAUGGGCGGAAGCCUGAUGCAGCAACGCCGCGUGCGGGAUGACGGCCUUCGGGUUGUAAACCGCUUUCGCCUGUGACGAAGCGUGAGUGACGGUAAUGGGUAAAGAAGCACCGGCUAACUACGUGCCAGCAGCCGCGGUGAUACGUAGGGUGCGAGCGUUGUCCGGAUUUAUUGGGCGUAAAGGGCUCGUAGGUGGUUGAUCGCGUCGGAAGUGUAAUCUUGGGGCUUAACCCUGAGCGUGCUUUCGAUACGGGUUGACUUGAGGAGGGUAGGGGAGAAUGGAAUUCCUGGUGGAGCGGUGGAAUGCGCAGAUAUCAGGAGGAACACCAGUGGCGAAGGCGGUUCUCUGGGCCUUUCCUGACGCUGAGGAGCGAAAGCGUGGGGAGCGAACAGGCUUAGAUACCCUGGUAGUCCACGCUGUAAACGGUGGGUACUAGGUGUGGGGUCCAUUCCACGGGUUCCGUGCCGUAGCUAACGCUUUAAGUACCCCGCCUGGGGAGUACGGCCGCAAGGCUAAAACUCAAAGGAAUUGACGGGGCCCCGCACAAGCGGCGGAGCAUGCGGAUUAAUUCGAUGCAACGCGUAGAACCUUACCUGGGUUUGACAUGGAUCGGGAGCGCUCAGAGAUGGGUGUGCCUCUUUUGGGGUCGGUUCACAGGUGGUGCAUGGCUGUCGUCAGCUCGUGUCGUGGGAUGUUGGGUUAAGUCCCGCAACGAGCGCAACCCUUGUUCACUGUUGCCAGCACGUUAUGGUGGGGACUCAGUGGAGACCGCCGGGGUCAACUCGGAGGAAGGUGGGGAUGACGUCAAGUCAUCAUGCCCCUUAUGUCCAGGGCUUCACGCAUGCUACAAUGGCUGGUACAGAGAGUGGCGAGCCUGUGAGGGUGAGCGAAUCUCGGAAAGCCGGUCUCAGUUCGGAUUGGGGUCUGCAACUCGACCUCAUGAAGUCGGAGUCGCUAGUAAUCGCAGAUCAGCAACGCUGCGGUGAAUACGUUCCCGGG